Molecule: ribosomal RNA, 253 nt
Filed under: uncultured bacterium
Lineage: Bacteria
Description: partial 16S ribosomal RNA
Rfam family: Bacterial small subunit ribosomal RNA
Source: RNAcentral
GACAGAGGAGGCGAGCGUUAUCCGGAGUUAUUGGGCGUAAAGGGUACGUAGGCGGCUGGUCAAGUGUGGAGUUAAAGACCACAGCUUAACUGUGGGGGGGCCUUGGAAACUGACCGGCUGGAGUGGGGCAGGGGUUGCGGGAAUUCCCGGUGUAGCGGUGAAAUGCGUAGAUAUCGGGAAGAACGCCUGAGGCGAAAGCGCGCAACUGGGCCCUAACUGACGCUGAGGUACGAAAGCUAGGGGAGCGAAUGGG